GACGAACGCUGGCGGCGUGCUUAACACAUGCAAGUCGAACGGAAAGGCCCUGCUUUUGUGGGGUGCUCGAGUGGCGAACGGGUGGGUAACACGUGAGUAGCCUGCCCUUGACUUUGGUAUAACUUCAGGAAACUGAGGCUAGUACCGGAUAGGAGCUCCUGCUGCUUGGUGGGGGUGGGAAAGUUUCGGCGGUUGGGGAUGGACUCGCGGCGUAUCAGCUUGUUGGUGGGGUAGUGGCUUACCAAGGCUUUGACGGGUAGCCGGCCUGAGAGGGUGACCGGCCACAUUGGGACUGAGAUACGGCCCAGACUCCUACGGGAGGCAGCAGUGGGGAAUAUUGCACAAUGGGCGGAAGCCUGAUGCAGCAACGCCGCGUGCGGGAUGACGGCCUUCGGGUUGUAAACCGCUUUCGCCUGUGACGAAGCGUGAGUGACGGUAAUGGGUAAAGAAGCACCGGCUAACUACGUG
Molecule: ribosomal RNA, 468 nt
Filed under: uncultured bacterium
Lineage: Bacteria
Description: partial 16S ribosomal RNA
Rfam family: Bacterial small subunit ribosomal RNA
Source: RNAcentral